GCCAGCGGCCAUAUCACCCUGCAACUCACAACUGGCAACCCACUGAAGCUCAGCAGGAGUGAGCCUUGCCAGUACCUGGAUGGGAGACCUCCUGGGAAAAACAGGUUGCUGCUGGAA
This 117-nucleotide ribosomal RNA is filed under the name Lepisosteus oculatus (spotted gar). The record is from RNAcentral. Lineage: Eukaryota; Metazoa; Chordata; Actinopteri; Semionotiformes; Lepisosteidae.